UCUGCCUUUUUCUCGCUUUGCGCGCAAUUUCUAGCGAGCCAACCAGCCGCGGGCCAGCAGCCGAACCAGUGCGAAAGCCGGUAACCGGCACAACGCGCCAUACCAAAGCGAUCAGCCGAUUGGCUGGCCGCCCGCGACUCGACCAAUCGCAAUGCGUCUUCGGUCGUCAGGUGGUGCUGCGUUCUCGCAGACACGAACGCCUGCUACAUCGGAAAAAGUUGGUUCCUGGCAGUUUUGACGACAUUACGGAUUUUAAGAAUAAAAAGUUUAUAUCUAUGAUAUUGUCUCUUGCGACUAAAUCAAUUGAUCUUUCUUAUUGAGGCCUGCACGUGUAGGUUACUUCUUCUGUUCCUAUAUACUUCCAAGCUAUAUUCCAUUUUAUUGCAUUUUCCAGAAAAAUUCCAAACAAGAUGUGUAGGCCAAUAAAAAGCAAAGUGGCAAAGACAUGAAAUAACAGUUCUUAGAAGAACAUUUUCCUGAAACCGUAAAUCAUCCAACUCAAGCAAGUGCACAUAAAUGGACCAUCAUACAUCGAAUUUUCCAUAUACAUACAUACUGUACAACACAUUUGAAACUAUGAAAAUACAUUAUGGCUGCCAACCAUUGUCAGUUCAUGAAAAUCAUCUGUGGAGUUUCUAUCGAAUUGUUGUUCUGCUAAAUGGACGCAUUUACACCUCUUCGAACACAAUAUGUACGAAGAUUGCUCGAAAUUAUCACCGGUGUAGAUAUAUCAACCUAACCCAACAAUCUUAAAGUACGACGUCUGCUACAAGUGCUUCGUGCAGUCAUACAAGCCGUAUAACUUCGAUUUUUAAACCUGGUAUUUUAAGUUAUAUUUACCAUAGUAUGUUACAUUCUAAAGCACAGCUAAUGCGAGUAAAAUAAUAGAUUGGUAAUAAAAGGCGGCAAAUAAAAGCAGUGGGAAGAAUUCAUAAUUUGUACUAAAUAUCAGCAUGGGAUUCUUGCACGAUAAUGUAAUAAUUAAUAAUAUUAAUAUGUCUACAUACUAUGAGUUAUAGACAUAGAGAUCAGAAUAAUCAACAAAGGAAGACAUAUCAUAUUUCUCUUCGUUUAUUAAUUUUAUCGUUUAUUUAUUAAUACCAGGUAUCUUGUGACUUGUAAAAAUUUCAUUAACAACAAUAGUUUAAUUGUGCAAGACGACCCUGGAAAAAAACUUUGCUACAUUCUCAUUAAUCAAAGAUCAUCUAACAAUACCAACCCACGAAACACAAAUUACAGAGACGAGUCAUCUCGAGAGCCAUUAUUCGUAAUGUACGUGUGUUUUACUGAUUUCUGUCACUUCUUUCCCUUCCAUUUUCGCCUGUUUUCUUCUUCACCUUCGCGUCUGGCCGAAAUAGGUCACGGUGCAAAGCAAAGGAGCAAGAUGGGACGGGACGGCAGCGACAUGGAGAAAAGCCAGCCGAGGACGAGGAUCACGCGCGUUGAGUACGUGCCUUGCAUCCGGAGGCGCGUUGCGUUCCGUUCGCCAUUGCCUGAUUAACUCGACGUCAUUUAUCAGAUUAAACGGAUAAUGCUGGUUAGCGUCUGACGUAACACCGCACUCCCAAGAACCGCCGUUUCUCAAAGAUUCUUUAUUAUCUUACUGGUCUGCCUAUGGACACACCAACGUUACGCAAUCGAACAAGCCGCUGAAAUUGGAUGCGAACAAUCGGCCGUGUUAACGAGUUCAUUGUGUUUCUGUCCAAAACGCGAUACUAGCCGGGUGGCCCUGCUGUUAUGUAACCUAGCUAUGGCUAUCUAUCGAGUUUAAUAAACGAAGGAAGAAAAUGAAAUUUAGGAUAAAGAUGUAUGGAAAUUAUUUCUGUGAGAAAUGUUUAGUUAUUUAGUAAAUUAGUAAUGAUCAGAUUGCCUGUGUAAAUAAAUGGAAUGUAAAUUUGUUUCAUUCUCUAAAUAUUACAACCUAGUACUUUACUUUGAAGAUUUUGUAUAUUCCUGCAAUUUAUAUGUAUUCUGUACAUUUAAGUAGAGUAAUUAGUAAUUACAUUUUAGUAACUCGAAUACAUUUUUAUGAAGAUUUGAAGAUGCUGUGACAUGUGAAGUAGUAAUUCAUUUUUUUAUUAUGAAUCAGUAAUAAAUUGUUAACUGUAACUUAAAUUUAUUUUUAUGGAGAUUGCAGAAAUUGUAUCGCAAAGUAAUAAAUUCCGUUUUUUACUAGGAAUUUCUUAGAAACACGCUGUAAAGUUUUAUGACACCAUCGUCAUUGUAGAUAUUGAACACUUGUAAUUGUUUGUACACCAGGCAAAAUUGAGUAUAAUACAGUGCCAAAGCGAAGCAUGAUAAACUCUCACAUGGCACAUCCAAAAGGUCGGCUUCAACGACGAAAUCACAGUCAUCUCGCUGCGAACGCACAGUUUAACCGGUAAUUAGAGUUUACGGCAGCCACGUUGAUUAGGUCGUUAAAGAAACUAUUACGCCGACUAAAUACAGUCUAGGCACUCCCACUAGUCUCCGUUGAAUUGCAAUUUGAUGCAGUAGGUACGUUGAUCACGUGAACAUUAAUAUCCGUUUUCUAGACUUCUUACAAUUUUCAUGAUCCAUACUGUAAGAUUUACGAAUUUUUUAUCGUUCGAGAUAAAAAAUAGAAAAUGAAGAAUUGGAGGAAUAUGCAUCUUUUAUUCAUAAAAAAUAAACUAAGAUCUUUAAAUAUUAUUAAAUUUUCUACAAUUCCAAUUAACGAACGAAGGAAAUUAAAUGUUUACAGAAUUAUAAAUUCUUUGUAAAAAUGUAAUAUCCUUAAGAUACUCGAAGAGGCUCUAUAUAGCGAUUGUCAACAAUGUUCAACUAAAUAAUAACUUUAAAAUGAAAUUCUUCAUGCAAACAGUUUAACAAGACAAUGGUUUAGACGCUUGAAUACACAUUGCAUUUGUAUAACGAGUUUAUUCUCAAAGACUCUUUAUUUCACCAAGGUUAUAAAAUUACACUGCGCAGCUUUUGACAACUACCGCAUCUCUAUCUCUUUGUGAACUUUUAAUGAUCUUUUCAAACAGGAUAUAUUCACGCUACUGAAAUCCUAAGAUAGACAACGACGAGUUCUUGUAAUUAAGAGAAACACGAGAAUUAUAUGAUGUAUCUUUUUUUAUUAUCUUCCAUUUUCUUUUCUUUUGGUACAAAUUUUAUAUUUCGGUCUAGCUAUAUUCUAUAUUUAGUACGUUAUAGUUCUACUAUUAAUGGAAAUUUCAGUCAAAGAAAUCAACCUGAUCUCUUUCACACAACAAGAAUGACAACGGUUUCUGAUCAACCUAAUUGCGAAUAAAACAACAAAGACGUAUCUUUUCUGGGAAAUAUCGCAUCGUUUCGUACGAAAGAUGAGACGAUCGAGAAACAUAUACCUAUAUCACACGAAGGCUACGAGUUUCGUCCGUUCGAAAUAAAAAUGUGGCACAUAUGCACAAUUCUUGGACACAAAGAGGAAAUUAUUAGGUUUGUCAACGAUCUGCUUGAGUUGUCCGAGUAAAUUGCUCGAAUUACCUCAGCACCCGGCAAUGGAAGGUGACCUACUGUCAGAAACGAUCUCUCCAAAGGAUUGUGCAACUUGAAACUUUAGAAUUUUUCUUCUUCCGCCAUUCGGUUCUCUUUUGAAGGGACCCAAUUACCAAGGUGAUAUAGGCGAUCUCGCAUUAGGAAUUCGCCGUCCUUUAAGAAGAUUGAAAAUCGUUCUUCAUAACAGCUUAAUAGUCAGCUCACAGCUCGUUUUGACCCUGUGAUCGAGAUAAUGAAGCGAUUUAACAUGGAAAUUUGCGAAACGGUCAACCUAAUCUCAGCACAGUAGAAUGUAUUAUUAACCUGAAACGCAUUCGUUUGUGUUUCGUCAUAUUUUUUCUCGUAGGAAUGACAUUAUUCGCAGGAAUAAUAGUUUUCGAGGAAGUAUAAAUCACAUUUGUGGAGGAUUAGUCGUUGUUAGGUUGAGCGAGAUAACGAGAGCGAAAUAUUGCUGUCGCAGUCCGUCAAAUAUAUUUUGAAUAAAUAAAUAAAUAAAUAACUUAUUGACGAAUUUGUGAGUCGUUGGUACAAAUGCAAGUUACGGAAUACAUACUCGAUGAAUACUCGGAGAAACUUUGUAGAUCACUAUACUGGUCGGAGGAGAACCAGAAAAUUCGAAUUCGUCUGCGUUUGAUCUUUGUAUGUAGCGGCGACAUUGUUUUGUCCAGAGUUUAUUUUUCUUACAUUACUUGUAACCUAACGGUCUUGAUACUCCGAGGUAAAACAACAGGAUUUGAAUUUUUCUUUGACUCGUGUGCCGCUACACAUUUUAUACCUUUUGUGGAUGAGCAAUUUUAAAAUUCAGUUUGCCGUCGACCAAUUUUAUUGUAUUAUUAAAUAUGUAUUAUCGUAUUAUGUAUUAUUCUCUGUAUUUCAUUAAAAUUGCAUUUUUAUUUGGUUUCAUUCA
This is a long non-coding RNA of Bombus huntii, 4408 nucleotides long. RefSeq lists it as uncharacterized. The record is from RefSeq and is a predicted model, not a curated record. The transcript is spliced from 2 exons. Lineage: Eukaryota; Metazoa; Arthropoda; Insecta; Hymenoptera; Apidae.